CGGGUGAGUAACACGUGAGCAACCUACCUUGCACAGGGGGAUAGCCGUUGGAAACGACGAUUAAUACCGCAUGAGACCACAAUACUGCAUGGUAUAGGGGUCAAAGAUUUAUCGGUGUAAGAUGGGCUCGCGUCUGAUUAGCUAGUUGGAAGGGUAAAGGCCUACCAAGGCGACGAUCAGUAGCCGGUCUGAGAGGAUGAACGGCCACACUGGAACUGAGACACGGUCCAG
RNAcentral lists this ribosomal RNA (231 nucleotides) under uncultured bacterium. RNAcentral's name for it is "partial 16S ribosomal RNA". It matches the Rfam family "Bacterial small subunit ribosomal RNA", at positions 103 to 334 of the family's 1533-position model. The record is from RNAcentral.